RNAcentral lists this ribosomal RNA (83 nucleotides) under Paenibacillus agri. The record is from RNAcentral. Lineage: Bacteria; Bacillati; Bacillota; Bacilli; Caryophanales; Paenibacillaceae.
UUUGGUGGCGAUGGCGGAGGGGUUCCACGCGUACCCAUCCCGAACACGACCGUUAAGCCCUCCAGCGCCGAUGGUACUUGGAC